UCAAACCCUAGUCGUUGCCCUCAAUUGCACCCCAAAACCGCCCAAAUCAAUGGUUUCCAAAGCCAUUGGAGGCGUGUAUCCACCUCCCUAGGCUUCUAUGUGUUCAAGUAUCACGGUUUCAAGGCUGAAUACUGGAAAAGUUUGGUGUAGACCUUGGUUGAUUUCAGUUCUAUGUCUGUCUCCGGUCAUCUUUGACUUUGCUCCGGCCAGCCAUGGCUAUUCAAGCCUGAUUCUUGACUUCUCUUGCUUUGAUUGAUGAUUUUCCAAGCCUUCCUCACCAUCUGGGGGUUAUCCUAAAACCUUAACCUUAAGGUUCUCCCGAUUUCUUUUAGAUAUGUUUUAGAUAUGUGUUUGUUCUAAGCUUCUAAACAUUUUUCUCAAGGCUUCUUUCAAACUCUACCUUCGAAACCCC
This 412-nucleotide long non-coding RNA is filed under the name Nicotiana benthamiana. RNAcentral describes it as "long non-coding RNA (NBEN_LNC007868)". Lineage: Eukaryota; Viridiplantae; Streptophyta; Magnoliopsida; Solanales; Solanaceae. The record is from RNAcentral.